UACGGAGGGAGCUAGCGUUGCUCGGAAUUAUUGGGCGUAAAGCGCACGUAGGACGGCUUAGCAAGUCGGAAGUGAAAGCCCUCGGCUCAACCAAGGAAGUGCUUUCGAAACUGCUGAGCUUGAGUACUUAAGAGGAUCGCGGAAUUCCCGGUGUAGAGGUGAAAUUCGUAGAUAUCGGGAGGAACACCAGUGGCGAAGGCGGCGAUCUGGGAAGAUACUGACGCUGAGGUGCGAAAGCGUGGGGAGCAAACAGG
RNAcentral lists this ribosomal RNA (254 nucleotides) under uncultured bacterium. RNAcentral's name for it is "partial 16S ribosomal RNA". It matches the Rfam family "Bacterial small subunit ribosomal RNA", at positions 524 to 776 of the family's 1533-position model. The record is from RNAcentral.